CAGGUACUCCCUCCGUUCGGAAUUACUUGUCGCAGAAAUGGAUGUAUCUACUAGAUACAUCCAUUUCUGCGACAAGUAAUUCCGAACGGAGGGAGUAAUAA
Molecule: non-coding RNA, 101 nt
Organism: Triticum aestivum (bread wheat)
Lineage: Eukaryota; Viridiplantae; Streptophyta; Magnoliopsida; Poales; Poaceae
Source: Rfam